Cephus cinctus (wheat stem sawfly) is the source of this 1001-nucleotide long non-coding RNA. RefSeq lists it as uncharacterized. The record is from RefSeq and is a predicted model, not a curated record. NCBI's taxonomy places the organism in Eukaryota, Metazoa, Arthropoda, Insecta, Hymenoptera, Cephidae. The transcript is spliced from 3 exons.
GUAAUUUGUUCGAAACAAACAUUAUAAUUCCAUGUGAGCUGGAAGAACGGGGCAGGGGUUGGCCAAUGGAGGUGUCGUUUCUCCUCUCGAAGGGAAUCCAGCUCCGCUCUUCCUAUCCUCGUCCGACGCUCUGUCGAGUGGGGUAGUUUCUAGCUGGAAGGGUUGAGACUUGGUACCCAAGUUAAAGGCGUAAGAUCUACCGUGUUUUGGACAGUGUCCAUUGUCUUGGAAUAUUUAUUAGAGAAGCCGCCGCCGUCGCAGCGCAGCCGACCAACGCUAAGAUGGCGGUUAUGGCAUAAUGGUGGAUUUAUCGUCGGCAACCAAGACGCCAUUAUGCACCGGGUAGGAACCCCUACGGGAGACUAAACGCGUCUUAGAGCCCUUCUUAGUGACCCUAAAGUGACGCACGGCGCUUGGGAUUGUCUCUCGUGUCUUCUGAGAUUCAUGGAUAGGAUCCUCGUCGGAAAAGGAUUCGUGUCCGUCCGUGAUACUACCCUUGGCAUUUACCACGCGCAACCCCCCUGCCCGUAUAGUUCGUCGAUGACGCAGAGAAAAUGUUUGUUCCAUUGAAUAAUCUCUAAGGGUUUUUAACCCUUUGAUUCGUUAUGAAUUAUCGAUCGAUUGAAUUUGUCGAUUUUGCCCUCUAUCCCUUUUACGGAUCUGUGGGAGAGCCUCGUCGUGACAGCCAUUGGACCAGGUCCGAAAGGAGUCGAUGUAUCAAGAAACGGAAUUCCGAUGAUGAAAUUAUUUUGAACUCUUUCAGCCGUUCGGAAUGGGAAACGCCAUAAGCCCUACGUCAGCCAUAAAAGUCUGAGGCAUUACGAUUGCUGGAUAUCAAAGUGGCUCCGAGGGGAUUGAUGACGUUUGGUUAAACGGAAGAUCAGGCCGAAGAAAGAAAAAGUUCAUUUCCAGGCCAGCUCCGGGUGGCGGGAUACGAAGAAGGAAAAAACAGACUAAGACGAGGAGGAUGAAAAAAGGAAAAAGUGGCUGUCUGUGCCCCC